This 505-nucleotide ribosomal RNA is filed under the name uncultured bacterium. RNAcentral's name for it is "partial 16S ribosomal RNA". It matches the Rfam family "Bacterial small subunit ribosomal RNA", at positions 28 to 507 of the family's 1533-position model. The record is from RNAcentral.
GACGAACGCUGGCGGCGUGCCUAAUACAUGCAAGUAGAACGCACAGUUUAUACCGUAGCUUGCUACACCAUAGACUGUGAGUUGCGAACGGGUGAGUAACGCGUAGGUAACCUGCCUGGUAGCGGGGGAUAACUAUUGGAAACGAUAGCUAAUACCGCAUAAUAUUAAUUAUUGCAUGAUAAUUAAUUGAAAGGUGCAAUUGCACCACUACCAGAUGGACCUGCGUUGUAUUAGCUAGUAGGUGAGGUAACGGCUCAACUAGGCGACGAUACAUAGCCGACCUGAGAGGGUGGUCGGCCACACUGGGACUGGGACACGGCCCAGACUCCUACGGGAGGCAGCAGUAGGGAAUCUUCGGCAAUGGACGAAAGUCUGACCGAGCAACGCCGCGUGAGUGAAGAAGGUUUUCGGAUCGUAAAGCUCUGUUGUAAGAGAAGAACGGGUGUGAGAGUGGAAAGUUCACACUGUGACGGUAUCUUACCAGAAAGGGACGGCUAACUACGUG